RNAcentral lists this microRNA precursor (147 nucleotides) under Ectocarpus siliculosus. RNAcentral's name for it is "MIR3454 microRNA precursor family". It matches the Rfam family "MIR3454 microRNA precursor family". Lineage: Eukaryota; Phaeophyceae; Ectocarpales; Ectocarpaceae. The record is from Rfam by way of RNAcentral.
UGUGGAGUUCUUCCCAGCUCCGACGGAAUGGCGAUCGUGACUAGGUCCGCCGCCUUGUAUCACACGAGCGUGUGUAUACCCGUGCGACUCAAGGCGGCGGAACUAGCCACGGGCGCCCUUCCAUCGAGGCUAGACAGAAUUCAACGA